This 75-nucleotide small RNA is filed under the name Faunimonas pinastri. RNAcentral describes it as "Makes More Granules Regulator RNA (mmgR)". It matches the Rfam family "Makes More Granules Regulator RNA (mmgR)". Rfam says of the family: SuhB later renamed mmgR (makes more granules regulator) was a putative non-coding RNA found multiple times in the Agrobacterium tumefaciens genome and related alpha-proteobacteria. Other non-coding RNAs uncovered in the same analysis include: speF, ybhL, metA, and serC. The record is from Rfam by way of RNAcentral. Lineage: Bacteria; Pseudomonadati; Pseudomonadota; Alphaproteobacteria; Hyphomicrobiales; Afifellaceae.
UAUCGCAGCCCUCUUUAGGGCGUUUCCUCCCUAGACUUGGGCCGCACUUCGGUGCGGCCUUUUUUUGUGCGGUGC